This 236-nucleotide ribosomal RNA is filed under the name uncultured bacterium. Its description in RNAcentral is "partial 16S ribosomal RNA". It matches the Rfam family "Bacterial small subunit ribosomal RNA", at positions 15 to 244 of the family's 1533-position model. The record is from RNAcentral.
GAUCCUGGCUCAGGAUGAACGCUAGCGGCAGGCUUAACACAUGCAAGUCGAGGGGCAGCAUAAUGGAUAGCAAUAUCUAUGGUGGCGACCGGCGCACGGGUGCGUAACGCGUAUGCAACCUACCUUUAACAGGGGGAUAACACUGAGAAAUUGGUACUAAUACCCCAUAAUAUCAUAGAAGGCAUCUUUUANGGUUGAAAAUUCCGAUGGUUAGAGAUGGGCAUGCGUUGUAUUAG